UCAGGGUUAACGCUGGCAGCGUGCCUAACACAUGCAAGUCGAACGACUAAUUUAUUAGUAGUGGCAAACGGGAGCGUAACACGUGGACAACAUCCCCCUAAGUGGUGAAUACCUCCGAGAAAUCGGAGCUAACACACCAUGGUCUUUCGCGGUGAAAUUCCGCGAUUGUAAAUGAGCAAUCAGCUUAGGGAGUGGUCUGCGGCCUAUCAGCUUGUUGGCGGGGUAACGGCCCACCAAGGCAACGACGGGUAGCUGGUCUGAGAGGACGUCCAGCCUCAGGGGCACUGAGAUACGGGCCCCACUCCUACGGGAGGCAGCAGUGAGGAAUUUUCCACAAUGGGCGAAAGCCUGAUGGAGCGACGCUGCGUGCGGGAUGAAGGCCUUCGGGUUGUAAACCGCUUUUUUUAGGGACGAUAAUGACGGUACCUAAAGAAUAAGCUACGGCUAACUACGUGCCAGCAGCCGCGGUAAUACGUAGGUAGCAAGUGUUACCCGGAAUCAUUGGGCGUAAAGGGUGCGCAGGUGGACAUACGCGUGGAUCGUUAAAAUUUGGCGCUCAACGUCAAAGCUAUGAUCCAAACGGUAUGUCUUGAGAGCAGGAGAGGAAGCUAGAAUUCCCGGUGUAGCAGUGAAAUGCGUUGAUAUCGGGAGGAAUACCAAUGGCGAAGGCAGGCUUCUGGACUGUUUCUGACACUCAGGCACGAAAGCGUGGGUAGCAAACGGGAUUAGAUACCCCGGUAGUCCACGCUGUAAACUAUGAUGACUAGAUGUUGGCGGCUCGACCCCGUCGGCAUCGCAGCAAACGCGUUAAGUCAUCCGCCUGGGGACUACGAACGCAAGUUUAAAACUCAAAGGAAUUGACGGGGACCUGCACAAGCGGGGGAUCAUGUGGUUUAAUUCGACGGUAAACGAAGAACCUUACCGAGGCUCAACUACUAGCUGCAAACCUUAUGAAAAUAGGGUUCCCUCGAGGGUGCUAGAUAGGUGCUGCAUGGUUGUCGUCAGCUCGUGUCGUGAGAUGUUGGGUUAAGUCCUCCAACGGGCGCAACCCUCGUCCUGUGUUAUUUAUGUCACAGGAGACCGCCGGUGUUAAAUCGGAGGAAGGUGAGGAUGACGUCAAAUCCGCAUGGCCCUUAUGUCUCGGGCUACACACAUGAUACAAUGGCCGUAACAAUGGGUUUGCCAAGCCGCAAGGCGGAGCUAAUCCCACCAAAUACGGUCCCAGUUCGGAUCAGGGGCUGCAACUCGACCCCGUGAAGCUGGACUCGCUAGUAAACGUGGGUCAGCUAUACCACGUUGAAUACGUUCCCAGGUCUUGUACACACCGCCCGUCAAGUCAUGGAAGAUGGAAACAUUUGAAGU
Molecule: ribosomal RNA, 1362 nt
Filed under: uncultured bacterium
Lineage: Bacteria
Description: 16S ribosomal RNA
Rfam family: Bacterial small subunit ribosomal RNA
Source: RNAcentral